This 538-nucleotide ribosomal RNA is filed under the name uncultured Pseudozyma. RNAcentral's name for it is "eukaryotic LSU rRNA". It matches the Rfam family "Eukaryotic large subunit ribosomal RNA", at positions 143 to 662 of the family's 3401-position model. Lineage: Eukaryota; Fungi; Basidiomycota; Ustilaginomycetes; Ustilaginales; Ustilaginaceae. The record is from RNAcentral.
UUGUAAUCUCAAGAAGUGUUUUCCGCUUCGGACCAUGCCUAAGUCCCUUGGAAAAGGGCAUCAUAGAGGGUGAUAAUCCCGUACAUGGCAUGGAGCGCCCGAGGCUUUGUGAUACGCUUUCUAAGAGUCGAGUUGUUUGGGAAUGCAGCUCAAAAUGGGUGGUAAAUGCCAUCUAAGGCUAAAUAUUGGGGAGAGACCGAUAGCGAACAAGUACAGUGAUGGAAAGAUGAAAAGAACUUUGAAAGGAGAGUUAAACAGUACGUGAAAUUGCCAAAAGGGAAGGGUAGGAGGUCAGAGAUGCGUCUUGGGAUUCAGCCUUGCUUUUGCUUGGUGUUUUUCCCAAGUUGCAGGCCAACGUCGGUUUUGGGCACUGGAGAAGGGUGGAAGGAACGUGGCACCUCUCGGGGUGUGUUAUAGCCUUCUACUGGAUACAGCGACCGAGACCGAGGACAGCAGCGUACUCACAAGAGCGGGCCUUCGGGCACCUUUACGCUUAGGGCGUUGGCAUAAUGGCCCUCUACCACCCGUCUUGAAACAC